UUUGGAAACCAUCAAGUACAAAAAUUGAGAGGGAUAACUUCGGCUGUGAGAAUUUUUCUGUACUUCCUUCAUUCGGAACCUAAACUCGGAAGUAGGGGGACUAGUGUUGGGUAUAAAAUACCCCCAGCCAAAGUUUGUAAAAGACCGACCCUUCCAGGACUUUUCUAGCUUUCGACCUUGUGUGGCGUCUUUCUGAACCCCCU
RNAcentral lists this long non-coding RNA (203 nucleotides) under Elaeis guineensis (African oil palm). Its description in RNAcentral is "long non-coding RNA (EGUI_LNC047515)". The record is from RNAcentral. Lineage: Eukaryota; Viridiplantae; Streptophyta; Magnoliopsida; Arecales; Arecaceae.